UGUCCAGGGAUGGGAUUCGAACCCACAGUGUUCCGCUUACCGGGCAGAUGCCAUGUCCACUAGGCUAUACCCUGGAC
Molecule: transfer RNA, 77 nt
Filed under: Cordylochernes scorpioides
Lineage: Eukaryota; Metazoa; Arthropoda; Arachnida; Pseudoscorpiones; Chernetidae
Description: tRNA-Thr
Source: RNAcentral